GGGUUUCCCCCUUCACUCUUUCCUUUCCUUUUCCCUCCUUCUUUCCGCCUCCCACUCUCCUUUCCCAUCUCACUCCGCUCCCUUCCACUCGCCGCCUCACGCCGCUCCCACUCACCCCCUUUCCCUCCUCCUUCUCCGCCCACGUUCCUCUCCACUCACCUUUGUCCCCCACGCCUCUGUCUCUCCAUCCCACUCUGUCCCACGUUCCCCUCUCUCCUACGCUCCUCUUUCCCUUCUCUUAAACCCUAUAAAUUGUUGUUCUUGAGUGGUUGAAAAGGGGGGGGACCCGAAAGAUCCCAGGGUUUUCUUGACAUCAAUUUGAAAAUUCCAAAUAUUUAUUCUGUUUGCUCUGUUAUUAUUUCGAAGUUGGGUAUAUAAAAUUAGGGGGGAUUUUGGAACGAGCAAGAAACGGGGUAAGAUCGAGAAACGAAAAGGGAAUCCCUACACUCUGUUUUGUUAGGGUCUGGUUCGAUCCAUCAAAAAAAAAAAAAAGAACACAUUUUUUCAUUACUACUUUAAAGUUGGGAUUUUGUGUAGAUUUCGUUUUGUUUCGAGUUUUUUUUUUAGCCGCUAGAACCCUGUCUGAAAUCUAUACUUUCGAUUACUAUAUCUCGGCGUAUUCAUUUGAAGCACAUAAAGGUUUUGUUGGUUUUCUAUUCGGCUUUUACUUUGGAGUCGAGUGUAGAUCCGCGGCUUCACGCCCCAUUUCACUGUACCAACAAAAGAAAAUGGAGUCCUAAUUUGGGACUCAUCAUCUGCCGCAUUCGGUGUUGGGCCAAAACCCAACGAAAUCUUCAUCUCGAGUCAUCCUCAACCCGCAACAUACAAAAAAAAAAAUUCUUGGGCCAUGCCCAUAUAGCAAAGAACCUAACGCCACAAGCCUUUAAAUGGGCUAGGCCCAUCUAUUUUCUCUACUCUAUUCCCUUUUUUUUUUGUAUAUUUGACUUGCACAGUAUGACUAACAUUUUUUUGUUUUUUUAAUUUAGAUGAACUUUAGCAAAUUAGUGAAGUUUAGUUUAAAUAAUGGGUAGUUAAUUCAAAGAGCUUCAUUAGUUUAUGUCGAAAUUAUUUAUUAUCCAUAAUAUUUAUCUUUUAGAAUAAUUGAUUUUCAAAGUA
Molecule: long non-coding RNA, 1116 nt
Organism: Lycium barbarum (goji berry)
Lineage: Eukaryota; Viridiplantae; Streptophyta; Magnoliopsida; Solanales; Solanaceae
Exons: 2
Source: RefSeq, a predicted model, not a curated record